This 253-nucleotide ribosomal RNA is filed under the name uncultured bacterium. RNAcentral's name for it is "partial 16S ribosomal RNA". It matches the Rfam family "Bacterial small subunit ribosomal RNA", at positions 524 to 776 of the family's 1533-position model. The record is from RNAcentral.
UACGGGGGGGGUAAGCGUUGUUCGGAAUUACUGGGCGUAAAGGGCUCGUAGGCGGCCAACUAAGUCAUACGUGAAAUCCCUCAGCUUAACUGGGGAACUGCGUGUGAUACUGGAUGGCUUGGAUUUGGGAGAGGGAUGCGGAAUUCCAGGUGUAGCGGUGAAAUGCGUAGAUAUCAGGAGGAACACCGACGGCGAAGGCAGCACUCUGGGCCGGUACUGACGCUGAGGAGCGAAAGCAUGGGGAGCGAACAGG